RNAcentral lists this ribosomal RNA (536 nucleotides) under uncultured bacterium. RNAcentral's name for it is "bacterial SSU rRNA". It matches the Rfam family "Bacterial small subunit ribosomal RNA", at positions 777 to 1308 of the family's 1533-position model. The record is from RNAcentral.
AAUAGAUACCCGGGUAGUCCUAGCCGUAAACGAUGAGUGCUAUGUGUGAGGGGUAUCGACCCCCCUCGUGCAGGAGUUAACGCAAUAAGCACUCCGCCUGGGGAGUACGGCCGCAAGGUUGAAACUCAAAAGGAAUUGACGGGGGCCCGCACAAGCAGCGGAGCAUGUGGUUUAAUUCGAAGCAACGCGUAGAACCUUACCAGGGCUUGACAUCCACCGAACCCUGUAGAAAUACGGGGGUGCUCCUUCGGGAGAGCGGUGAGACAGGUGGUGCAUGGUUGUCGUCAGCUCGUGUCGUGAGAUGUUGGGUUAAGUCCCGCAACGAGCGCAACCCCUAUCGUAUGUUGCCAGCGAGUAAAGUCGGGCACUCGAUGCGAGACUGCCGGUGACAAACCGGAGGAAGGUGGGGAUGACGUCAAAUCAUCAUGCCCCUUAUGUCCUGGGCUACACACGUGCUACAAUGGCCGCACAGAGCGAACCGAACCGUGAGGGGGACGAAACCGCCAAAGGCGGUCCCAGUUCAGAUCGCAGGCUGC